Molecule: small RNA, 68 nt
Filed under: Flavobacterium urumqiense
Lineage: Bacteria; Pseudomonadati; Bacteroidota; Flavobacteriia; Flavobacteriales; Flavobacteriaceae
Description: Flavo-1 RNA
Rfam family: Flavo-1 RNA
Source: RNAcentral
GUUUAGCCCCGAUGGAAGCGGCAUCCCUCGCUUUUUCAGCGAGGAUACAGCGGACAGCGGGACAACUG